RNAcentral lists this ribosomal RNA (761 nucleotides) under Prevotella melaninogenica. Its description in RNAcentral is "bacterial SSU rRNA". It matches the Rfam family "Bacterial small subunit ribosomal RNA", at positions 28 to 776 of the family's 1533-position model. Lineage: Bacteria; Pseudomonadati; Bacteroidota; Bacteroidia; Bacteroidales; Prevotellaceae. The record is from RNAcentral.
GAUGAACGCUAGCUACAGGCUUAACACAUGCAAGUCGAGGGGAAACGGCAUUGAGUGCUUGCACUCUUUGGACGUCGACCGGCGCACGGGUGAGUAACGCGUAUCCAACCUUCCCAUUACUGUGGGAUAACCUGCCGAAAGGCAGACUAAUACCGCAUAGUCUUCGAUGACGGCAUCAGAUUUGAAGUAAAGAUUUAUCGGUAAUGGAUGGGGAUGCGUCUGAUUAGCUUGUUGGCGGGGUAAUGGCCCACCAAGGCUACGAUCAGUAGGGGUUCUGAGAGGAAGGUCCCCCACAUUGGAACUGAGACACGGUCCAAACUCCUACGGGAGGCAGCAGUGAGGAAUAUUGGUCAAUGGACGGAAGUCUGAACCAGCCAAGUAGCGUGCAGAAUGACGGCCCUAUGGGUUGUAAACUGCUUUUGUAUGGGGAUAAAGUUAGGGACGUGUCCCUAUUUGCAGGUACCAUACGAAUAAGGACCGGCUAAUUCCGUGCCAGCAGCCGCGGUAAUACGGAAGGUCCAGGCGUUAUCCGGAUUUAUUGGGUUUAAAGGGAGCGUAGGCUGGAGAUUAAGUGUGUUGUGAAAUGUAGACGCUCAACGCCUGAAUUGCAGCGCAUACUGGUUUCCUUGAGUACGCACAACGUUGGCGGAAUUCGUCGUGUAGCGGUGAAAUGCUUAGAUAUGACGAAGAACUCCGAUUGCGAAGGCAGCUGACGGGAGCGCAACUGACGCUUAAGCUCGAAGGUGCGGGUAUCAAACAGG